RNAcentral lists this transfer RNA (72 nucleotides) under Camelus bactrianus (Bactrian camel). It matches the Rfam family "tRNA". Rfam says of the family: Transfer RNA (tRNA) molecules are approximately 80 nucleotides in length. Their secondary structure includes four short double-helical elements and three loops (D, anti-codon, and T loops). Further hydrogen bonds mediate the characteristic L-shaped molecular structure. tRNAs have two regions of fundamental functional importance: the anti-codon, which is responsible for specific mRNA codon recognition, and the 3' end, to which the tRNAs corresponding amino acid is attached (by aminoacyl-tRNA synthetases). tRNAs cope with the degeneracy of the genetic code in two manners: having more than one tRNA (with a specific anti-codon) for a particular amino acid; and 'wobble' base-pairing, i.e. permitting non-standard base-pairing at the 3rd anti-codon position. The record is from Rfam by way of RNAcentral. Lineage: Eukaryota; Metazoa; Chordata; Mammalia; Artiodactyla; Camelidae. RNAcentral also lists the same sequence under 2 other names.
GAGGGUACAGCUCAGUGGUAGAGCACAUGUUUAGCAUGCACGAGGUCCUGAGCUCAAUCCCCAGUACCUCCA